CAAAAAACCCCUCUCAAUGGCCAGGGCGUUACACUAUCGAUAGAUCAGUUGGAAAAAGUAGCAACUUUCUUCACAUGCCACGGUCAGUGUGAACCAGAGUGACUUGACACAACGCUGACCAAACAAGAUGUAGCUAAAAACAAAAUGGUGUUAAAUGGUUCAAGUCUGCCGUGUAGCGUUCGUCCAUGUAUACAGUGAACUGCCCUGAAUAAAAUCUGGGGUUCAAGCUGCAGGCCACCGAGUAUUUAUUAAGCCACAUCUGGGAUUGUCAUCACUGCUGCAUCGGCCCGGCGGAGAGAGAGAGGGAGAGGGAAUCGGAAAAGGAUGUGUGCUGAAGGCUAGGAGAAGGAGUGGAGUUGGGGGACUUAAAGACGGAUCCUGUCUAGUUACACAGCCAGCCUCGGUCCUUGGAGUUGGCCCAAGUCUGGAAGCAUGUCUCUUUUCCACCUUCCUUUCAUGUCAUUCCAAGCUGCAGAAAAAGGAGCAGGGUACGCAAACAUGCUGGAAGGGGAUCAUAGUCCAAACCUCUUUAUUUAUAUGUGCUUUUCUCUUCUGUGUCCUGCUCCCAGAGAUCAACCAAGUGCUAUGCUAUUCACCAAGCAUGGCCUCAGCUGAUUCACUCACCUGUGAGGACCAUCCUAUUGCAGUUUGAACUAGCCCUGCCG
RNAcentral lists this long non-coding RNA (665 nucleotides) under Salmo salar (Atlantic salmon). Its description in RNAcentral is "lncRNA (ENSSSAG00000115269.1)". The record is from RNAcentral. Lineage: Eukaryota; Metazoa; Chordata; Actinopteri; Salmoniformes; Salmonidae.